GAUGAACGCUAGCUACAGGCUUAACACAUGCAAGUCGAGGGGAAACGAUAUUGGAAGCUUGCUUCCGAUAGGCGUCGACCGGCGCACGGGUGAGUAACGCGUAUCCAACCUGCCCACCACUUGGGGAUAACCUUGCGAAAGUAAGACUAAUACCCAAUGAUAUCUCUAGAAGACAUCUGAAGGAGAUUAAAGAUUCAUCGGUGAUGGAUGGGGAUGCGUCUGAUUAGCUUGUUGGCGGGGUAACGGCCCACCAAGGCGACGAUCAGUAGGGGUUAUGAGAGAAGUGUACCCCACAUUGGAAGUGAGGCACGGGCCAAACUCCUACAGGAGGCAGCAGUGAGGAAUAUUGGUCAAUGGGCGAGAGCCUGAACCAGCCAAGUAGCGUGCAGGAUGACGGCCCUAUGGGUUGUAAACUGCUUUUAUAAGGGAAUAAAGUGAGUCUCGUGAGACUUUUUGCAUGUACCUUAUGAAUAAGGACCGGCUAAUUCCGUGCCAGCCGCCGCAGUAA
RNAcentral lists this ribosomal RNA (508 nucleotides) under uncultured bacterium. RNAcentral's name for it is "partial 16S ribosomal RNA". It matches the Rfam family "Bacterial small subunit ribosomal RNA", at positions 28 to 523 of the family's 1533-position model. The record is from RNAcentral.